This 504-nucleotide ribosomal RNA is filed under the name uncultured bacterium. RNAcentral describes it as "partial 16S ribosomal RNA". It matches the Rfam family "Bacterial small subunit ribosomal RNA", at positions 28 to 507 of the family's 1533-position model. The record is from RNAcentral.
GACGAACGCUGGCGGCGUGCCUAAUACAUGCGAGUAGAACGCACAGUUUAUACCGUAGCUUGCUACACCAUAGACUGUGAGUUGCGAACGGGUGAGUAACGCGUAGGUAACCUGCCUGGUAGCGGGGGAUAACUAUUGGAAACGAUAGCUAAUACCGCAUAUAUUGAUUAUUGCAUGAUAAUUGAUUGAAAGAUGCUAUUGCAUCACUACCAGAUGGACCUGCGUUGUAUUAGCUAGUAGGUGAGGUAACGGCUCACCUAGGCGACGAUACAUAGCCGACCUGAGAGGGUGAUCGGCCACACUGGGACUGAGACACGGCCCAGACUCCUACGGGAGGCAGCAGUAGGGAAUCUUCGGCAAUGGACGAAAGUCUGACCGAGCAACGCCGCGUGAGUGAAGAAGGUUUUCGGAUCGUAAAGCUCUGUUGUAAGAGAAGAACGGGGGUGAGAGUGGAAAGUUCACACUGUGACGGUAUCUUACCAGAAAGGGACGGCUAACUACGUG